RNA transcript from Trichomycterus rosablanca, 2633 nucleotides. It is a transcript of the gene named vasoactive intestinal peptide receptor 1b, with no coding region annotated. NCBI's taxonomy places the organism in Eukaryota, Metazoa, Chordata, Actinopteri, Siluriformes, Trichomycteridae. The transcript is spliced from 15 exons. The record is from RefSeq and is a predicted model, not a curated record.
GCGGUGGGUUUGAAUAAGUGACCGUUAACGGAAUUUAACGGAAUUUAACGGAAAACAGUAAACCGAGGACUUUUAUACGGAGAUAAAGAAAAUACUGAGAAACUUUCGGUGUUUUUGGGUUUAUUUUGCGGAUUUGGAGAUUUUUUUAAUCAGAACUACACGCCGGUUAUGGACGGUUUAAGAUUUGUGAUGUUCAUUUCAACUCUCACCGCCUUCCUCUCAGCUACCAGCGCGGUUCACAUGUGUGACGUUGUAAACGAAAUCGAGCUGGAGAGGGAGCGAUGUGAAAGCAAAAUCGAGGAAAAUAUCACAUCAGGCUGCAAAGGAAUGUGGGACAUUAUUGCUUGCUGGCCAUCAGCCAGUCUGGGAGAGCAAGUGGUCAUCUCUUGUCCAAACUACUUCAGCUACUUCAGCGACCACCAAAGUGAAGGUAAUCUCUCCAAAACGUGCACCGAGGACGGCUGGACUGAAGUGCACCCCAUAACCAUUGCUCUGAACUGUGGGUAUAAUCUCAAUGGCACAGUGGACGAUGAUAAUUUCUUCCGGUCGAUUAAGAUCGGCUACACGGUUGGACACAGCGUUUCUCUCAUCUCUCUGACUACGGCUAUAAUAAUACUGUGUGUCUUCAGGAAGCUUCACUGUACGAGGAAUUACAUCCACAUGCACCUUUUUGUUGCCUUCAUCCUUAAAGCCAUCGCGGUGUUCACCAAAGACGUCGUCCUCUACGAUGUUGUACAGGAGUCGGACAACUGCUCCACCGGUUCUGUCGGCUGUAAAGCUGUGAUGAUCUUCUUCCAGUACUGCAUCAUGGCAAGUUUCUUCUGGCUUCUGGUUGAAGGUCUUUACCUCCACGCCUUACUGGCUGUCUCCUUCUUCUCAGAGAGGAAGUACUUUUGGUGGUACAUCCUGAUCGGCUGGGGAGGGCCGCUGGUCUUCAUCACAGCCUGGAGUUUCGCCAAAGCCUAUUUUAAUGACGUUGGGUGCUGGGAUAUCAUCGAGAACUCAGACCUGUUCUGGUGGAUUAUCAAAACACCAAUAUUAGCUUCCAUCCUGAUGAACUUCAUCCUGUUUAUUUGUAUCAUACGGAUCCUGCGGCAGAAGAUCAACUGCCCCGACAUCGGGAGGAAUGAAUCGAACCAAUAUUCGAGGCUGGCCAAAUCCACGCUGCUGUUGAUUCCGCUCUUCGGGAUAAACUUCAUCAUAUUCGCUUUCAUCCCAGAGCACAUCAAAACGGAGCUGAGGCUGGUGUUCGACCUCAUCCUGGGUUCGUUUCAGGGCUUCGUGGUGGCGGUUCUCUACUGCUUCCUAAAUGGAGAGGUGCAAGCCGAGAUCAAGAGGAAAUGGAGACGGUGGCACCUGGAAAGGUUUCUUGGCUCCGGUACCAAGUACCAGCACCCGUCUAUGAGCAGCAACGGCGCCAACUCCGCCACCCAGAUCUCUCUGCUGACUCAGCGCGCCUCCGCCUGCCACGACGACUCCUCUAUAGCUGUGUAGCACAGCUGGGGAGCUCCGGUUAGCCGACACAGGACAAUCGUCUUCUGUAGAUCCACUCAUGCUGUGUGUCUUGUGCAUCUGGGCUCGUACUGGACAGUUCAGAAUCAGAGUGAGCUGAGGAGAGGAAGGUAAGAGUGAGGAAGAGGAAGGACAACAAGCUAAAGUAAGGGAGCUAGAGAUAGAGAGAGAGCAGCACUUAAGUUGUCCGGAGCAGCUCUGUCAAUUUUGGAACGGGCUUUUCCUCGCCACCCAUGUUCCAGCAGCUCCUGUUCCUUGUUGGUUUUUGGAGAACACGAUUGACUGGACAAAUUUUGUGUCAUUUUUAUUUUUUCCUGACUUUGGCUAAAGUAACCACUGUUCCACGUACUGUGUACUUACAGACGUCUGAUUGUGCAGGUGACUGGUACUGAAAGUUGCUUAAAAAUGGCUCUUCGUGAAAUUCCUGACUAAAACCUAUGAGCGCUACACUUUUCCAUUGUUACAUGUGGCUUCGCGUGUCCGUGCCGAGACUGCCAUGGCAUACAUGUUUUUUUUUCACAUGUGUAUAAAACUUCCCCUCAGCUGUUACAGUUCUCAGAUCGUUGUGCAGGUACAGUGUAAAUAACUUGAACUUUGUACAGGUUCCUUUCAUAGACCUCGUAACGAGGAUGUACAGUUUGUCUGAAUGUUCAUUCAUUUCACAUUUCACGUUCAGUUCGAUAUAACGUAACGCGUGCCAACGUUUAAAACACAAAUGACCUCUCGUUUAUUGCCAUGAUGAAUGUACGUCCUCACGAAGUGGAUUUGAAAACGUGUAUUGCGUCUGUGCCCAACAUGUCGUGUACUUGAGUGUGUGAUUUUUUCUGUAAACGAUAAGCUGCCAACCGUUUCGGACACGCUGUACAGAUUUAAACGGGCCUUUUAACAUAAAUACAUGAUUAGCUUUAGCACUGGAUAGCGUGCUUUAAUAAUCUGUGUGUCGUCCGAACUGUGGAGUGCUGAAUGCAUGCUGCACAGGCAAAAUCUGCUUCUACAUGCAGCCAGAAGAAGAAACAGAACAGAUAUUUCCAAUCAUAUGUAUUGUUACCGUAUUGUAUUUUUGUAAAGAAAAAAGGUAAAUAUUUAACAUAAAUAUGCAAAUAAACUAGAAUUAUUGUACA